Long non-coding RNA from Sebastes umbrosus (honeycomb rockfish), 1066 nucleotides. RefSeq lists it as uncharacterized. The record is from RefSeq and is a predicted model, not a curated record. NCBI's taxonomy places the organism in Eukaryota, Metazoa, Chordata, Actinopteri, Perciformes, Sebastidae. The transcript is spliced from 2 exons.
GACAUGAUACAACACACGCGAAGUAAACAAAAGUUGUCUGGUUACAGUGGAAGGAAUUAAAGAUGUGUGUGUGUGUGUGUGUGUGUGUAUCCCAGACAGACAGUAUCCUCCAUGCCCCCCCCCCCCGCCGCCAGCUGUCUGCCCUGCCCAGACAGUGGCCCCGUGCCUGGUGCCACGGCCCGACGCCGUGCCAGCUGAUCCUUGGGCACAGGAGUCAGCCUGACCCCGACCAACCCCCGUUCCCCUUCUAACCAGCAUUAAAGCCAUUAUUCCAGAUAGAGAGCCUUAUUAUACAAUAUAUGACCACAGCUGGCCUCGCACACACACACACACACACACAGGCCGACAGACAGAGAGGAGGCGGCGGCGGCAUAGUAAAGCAGCGAGAGAGACAGAACAAGAAAGAGAAGAGACAUUUUGUCGCCCACUCGUCUGUUUCCAAAUAUAGCAUCCCCCCCCACCCGUCCCACUCAGCCUCUUGUUUUUGUUAUGGUGCCGUUUUUCCGUCAUCAAAGAUGUGCACAUGAGAAGUGUUGGUUGGGAGCCCUCGCUCCGUAGAGACGUUUGUUUGGCUUUUUGAGGAGUGAUGUUUUGAUGGCGUCUGCUAAUGUCGGUGGGAAGCCGAGGAGGACGAUUACGCAGACCGGAGACGUCUGGUUGGCCGGUGACAGUGUUUGGAGACACGCGGUUGGUCAGAGUGUCCGGGGGGAAACUGCGGAGAGCAGGAAUGAGAGCCGGACGGACUGUUUCCCAUUUCCAGUGGACGGGGAUGUCUGCUGUUAUUCCAGAGCCAAAUUUCAUCAGAAGUCCAUCGACUCUGCUUGAUGAACCCAACAUUCCUCCCUGCAGACCAACACUGGGCCUGCCAGACUCGGCAGACAAAACAAGACAUGAAACUGAUAAGGCCAGAUGAAACUAUUCCACUCAUUUGACCAGUCACUGCGGCCUGCCAGAUAUCCUCCGUUCACUACCACAGCCUUGAAGCUGCUACUGUAUUUGAAUGCGUGCAUGGUGUACUGGAAUUGGUUAAAAUAUGGGUUGAAUUAAAGGGAAUGUAUUUAAGUUU